UAUUGCACAAUGGGGGAAGCCCUGAUGCAGCGACGCCGCGUGAGUGAAGAAGUAUUUCGGUAUGUAAAGCUCUAUCAGCAGGGAAGAUAAUGACGGUACCCGACUAAGAAGCACCGGAUAACUACGUGCCAGCAGCCGCGGUAAUACGUAGGGGGCAAGCGUUAUCCGGAUUUACUGGGUGUAAAGGGAGCGUAGGUGGCGGGGCAAGUCAGAUGUGAAAACCCGGGGCUCAACCCCGGGAGUGCAUUUGAAACUGUCCGGCUGGAGUGCAGGAGAGGUAAGCGGAAUUCCUAGUGUAGCGGUGAAAUGCAUAGAUAUUAGGAGGAACACCAGUGGCGAAGGCGGCUUACUGGACUGUAACUGACACUGAGGCUCGAAAGCGUGGGGAGCAAACAGGA
This 398-nucleotide ribosomal RNA is filed under the name uncultured bacterium. RNAcentral's name for it is "bacterial SSU rRNA". It matches the Rfam family "Bacterial small subunit ribosomal RNA", at positions 362 to 777 of the family's 1533-position model. The record is from RNAcentral.